GAUGAACGCUGGCGGCGUGCCUAAUACAUGCAAGUCGAGCGAACAGACUAGGAGCUUGCUCCUCUGACGUUAGCUGCGGACGGGUGAGUAACACGUGGAUAACCUACCUAUAAGACUGGGAUAACUUCUGGAAACCGGAGCUAAUACUGGAUAAUAUAUUGAACCGCAUGGUUCAAUAUUGAAAGACGGUUUUGCUGUCACUUAUAGAUGGAUCCGCGCCGCAUUAGCUAGUUGGUAAGGUAACGGCUUACCAAGGCAACGAUGCGUAGCCGACCUGAGAGGGUGAUCGGCAACACUGGAACUGAGACACGGUCCAGACUCCUACGGGAGGAAGAAGUAGGGAAUCUUCCGCAAUGGGCGAAAGCUUGACGGAGAAACGCCGCGUGAGUGAUGAAGGUCUUCGGAUCGUAAAACUCUGUUAUUAGGGAAGAACAAAUGUGUAAGUAACUAUGCACGUCUUGACGGUACCUAAUCAGAAAGCCACGGCUAACUACGUG
Molecule: ribosomal RNA, 497 nt
Filed under: uncultured bacterium
Lineage: Bacteria
Description: partial 16S ribosomal RNA
Rfam family: Bacterial small subunit ribosomal RNA
Source: RNAcentral